Long non-coding RNA from Camelus dromedarius (Arabian camel), 781 nucleotides. RefSeq lists it as uncharacterized. The transcript has 6 exons. NCBI's taxonomy places the organism in Eukaryota, Metazoa, Chordata, Mammalia, Artiodactyla, Camelidae. The record is from RefSeq and is a predicted model, not a curated record.
GUGAGGAACCUGAAGCACAGAGAGGCUGUGGAAUCUGCUCAAGGUUCAGCUUGAAGCUCUGGAAGACAUGUGGCAAAAGCACCCUGUCAGCCGUGGACUCAUGCCACAGCCGCUUCUCCUUGUGACAGCUCCUACAAUGCCGCAUAAUAGUUCCUGUGUGAAUAUGUAUGAGAAAAUACUGAAACGAUGGCAAGAAAAAAGCAACUGGUCCCCUGCAUGAGUCUGUGAUGGGUCCCCUUGGACAGAAGCCUCUGCCAGGAGAACUGUAGAGACUGACACUACAAUAGAAGGAAGACAUUGGAGAAUUCGUAUGCUAUUUUAGCUGGCUCUGUGAUUGCAAUCACACAAAUCGCUACAUUCCAGAGAGAGCCCAGGAACAGAAGGUUUUUCCAUUUCAGUCUUUCAAGGUCUCCAGCUUGCAGAGAGUGGAUCAUGGGACUUGCCAGACUCUCUAAUCAGGAAAGCCAGAUUGUCAAACCAGCAUCUCACUUAGGCCUGGGAAGAUAUUUAGCCAUAAUGGUUCUGCCAACUCCUGACUCCUUAAACCCUGGACAUGUUCAAGCUGGAGCAAGAAAGACACUCCUUGAACAUGAAGGGUCACCUGCUCUAAAAUGCUGACCCUUGUUCUAGAUUUAAGGAGACAAAGGACAUCAGACAACCAAAUACAAUACGUUAUUCUUGACUGGAGCUCGAUCAGGGAAAAAUGCUAUAAAGGACAGUUUGGAAACAAUCUGGGAAAUGUGAGUAUGUUCUGUUUAAUCAGAUAUUUUUAUAACCAUGU